Molecule: ribosomal RNA, 375 nt
Filed under: uncultured Alphaproteobacteria bacterium
Lineage: Bacteria; Pseudomonadati; Pseudomonadota; Alphaproteobacteria
Description: bacterial SSU rRNA
Rfam family: Bacterial small subunit ribosomal RNA
Source: RNAcentral
UAAUACGGAGGGGGCUAGCGUUGUUCGGAAUUACUGGGCGUAAAGCGCGCGUAGGCGGUUUGCCAAGUUGGGGGUGAAAUCCCGGGGCUUAACCCCGGAACUGCCCUCAAAACUGGUUGGCUGGAGUGUGGGAGAGGAGAGCGGAAUUCCCAGUGUAGAGGUGAAAUUCGUAGAUAUUGGGAAGAACACCAGUGGCGAAGGCGGCUCUCUGGACCACAACUGACGCUGAGGCGCGAAAGCGUGGGGAGCAAACAGGAUUAGAUACCCUGGUAGUCCACGCCGUAAACGAUGAGUGCUAGACGUUGGGGGGCUUGCCCCUCAGUGUCGGAGCUAACGCAUUAAGCACUCCGCCUGGGGAGUACGACCGCAAGGUUA